CUUUGCUACGGAUCUGCUGCUUGCUUACUGUUUCGCGAGAUUUCUUCACUGUUAACUGGCUUUGUAGGAAAUAAGGUUGAAGAGUGUGGCUGUACAAAGGAACGGGAGUUCUGGAUCUCCAUUGCCUAUUGCCAUUCUUGUAUUCUUCUCAGUUCUCGCGCCACUUGUUUUCUUUUUCGGUCCAAGGCUUUGUAUUUCUAAUC
Long non-coding RNA from Hibiscus syriacus, 203 nucleotides. RefSeq lists it as uncharacterized. The record is from RefSeq and is a predicted model, not a curated record. The transcript is spliced from 4 exons. Lineage: Eukaryota; Viridiplantae; Streptophyta; Magnoliopsida; Malvales; Malvaceae.